Long non-coding RNA from Triticum dicoccoides, 677 nucleotides. RefSeq lists it as uncharacterized. The record is from RefSeq and is a predicted model, not a curated record. The transcript is spliced from 5 exons. NCBI's taxonomy places the organism in Eukaryota, Viridiplantae, Streptophyta, Magnoliopsida, Poales, Poaceae.
UCCUUUCCUGCACGGCUGCACGUGAUGGGGAUUACGAGCGACGUACGUGAUUUUGCAAGUACAGGUGAUAAAGAUUCAUGAUUUGGCUGCGCGCAUGCUUGCUGGCUGGAGGAGUUUGAUUCAUUACUUGAUGGCCUCAAAAUGGAUACAAGAUCUGUUGGAAUCAAGAAGGCGUUAAGGGAAUUUAAAUUAUGUCUAAUCUGUACCGGGACGACGCCGACAGUAAAAGGAACUAAGGAAAGGUUCUCGAGGUCUGCUCCUUCUCCACCGGUAGAGAGGAGCCUCCUUCUCAUGAUUCGCCUGUCUGCCCCGGCCCUCCCCGGCUAGAGCUGACGCCAUGGAAGGUCUGGCGGCUCCAUGGAUACAUGGAAGCCGCCAUCAUUUAGACGGACAGCCGCCAUCAUUUUGUCAGACUAAGUGUGGAGUUACUUGUGCAAGUUCCACCAUCAACAAACACAAAGUUCUGCAUGCUAUCAUCGCAAGUAAAGCAGUCAGUCUGUUAGGGAGAAAACAAAGGCUUGUGUGCUCAUUAGUUUUUUUUUAUUCUAUCAUGUGGUCUCCUUAUCUAUCUGUAACAUGUGACCUGUGCAACUGCAAAAAUGUUAGACAAUAAAAUUCUGUGUAACACAUGUUCUUAUACACUUUGCCUAUAGAGACUGUGCAUAGUUAUUCCCUUU